This is a long non-coding RNA of Monodelphis domestica (gray short-tailed opossum), 2657 nucleotides long. RefSeq lists it as uncharacterized. NCBI's taxonomy places the organism in Eukaryota, Metazoa, Chordata, Mammalia, Didelphimorphia, Didelphidae. The record is from RefSeq and is a predicted model, not a curated record.
GGAGGGGAAGAAAAAAGAAAAUUUGACCCAGGGAAACCCUCUCUAGGGGCGAUUGAGAACUUGAGAAAUCUCAGUCUGAAACAAACAGUUGCUAGAGCCUAGUGAAUUUCAAACGAAGCAACUGGGAAAAGACAAAUCAGGAGUUAAAAUUUCAUCAGGAAAGCAAAGUCAAAUUUACAGGCUCCUGAGACAAAAAGCAGGAAGAGCCAGGCUGCUAUUCAUAGGCAAAACAGUCAGUUUAGCAAAAGCGGGAAAGGCUAGCGAAGAAGCAAGGCAGAAACUGCUGCAGAAUGCUAAGGAGUUCUUUCUUAAGCACUUCUUAUUCCAAAAGUUCUGCAAGCUAAUCUUUACAAGAAACUCCCUGUGCCUUUUCAGGAGAGGUGGGACUCAGAUGCAUUUGAAAGGCUUAUCAGGAAGUGGUUGCUUUAACUCAAAGCAGGGCAUUUAAAAGAUCAGAAUUACUUGGAAAAAAUGGAUAAAAAACAAAAAAAAAAUUUUUUUUUAAUAAAACCGUAGGUCUCAGCAAAAUUAAGGAAUCAAGGCAAUAAUCCUGAAUUAGGUUAAAUUCGGAACAGCCUAAGUUGUAAAAAGAUAUUGCCAUUCUGUAACCAAAGGCAGAAGAUUUUUUUUAAAAAAAGGCAAGCCUCUACACUCAUUUAGCAUUUGAAAAAGGUCCUAGGAACUCUUUUGUUUGAGGUCUGGCCAGGUAAAGGCAGGCUUUACCUGGGUGCACAGUGAAGUAAGAUCUGGGAAUUUGAAUCGUUUUAAUUUAGGUUGGAUAUAGGCAAAAUUAUACAGGAAUGUCUGCUUAUAUAUUUUGAUAAAGGAAGUUAAAAAAGGAGAAUUAAAAAUCUUUCUCUGACUUUUGUUAUAUGCCACAGAAUAUCAGGACUAGAAAUGUUUUAUCUGUAGAGAAAUUUUGGUAUGAAUCACAAGGUAAUUAAAGUGCAAACAGAAAAUUUUUAAGGUUUGGGCUUAAAUCUGAAGCAGCUUGAAAUGUUUUUUCUCUCUACCAGCCACGUGGUUUGAGCCACGUGGAAGAUAGCAUCAGAGCAACUGAGGUUGCAAGUUUUAUCACUAAGGCUGUAAUUGGCUAGAAGAAAAAAUUUAAUACUAAGAUGUAAUAAGCAUGAAUUGGAAUAUGAUUUAAAGGAAUUUAUAAAGCUUUCUAAUUUUAACUAUGGAGGAAUUAUUAACACUUUUCUAAGCAGGACGUAAAGCAACAGGAUGAAUCUUGAGCAGAGCUUAUUCAAACAGCCUGUAUGCAGUUUAGAAACUUUUUACUGGGCAUAUUAGCAUACCUGUAUCCAGAAAGCAAAUGAUUUAUAACUAGAAUAGCUUUUACUAUGGAAAAUUAAGACACAUGCUCAGCAGAGUAAAAGCAUGGUUAGAAGGAUUUAAUCUGUUUACCAGUGGUUAAUUAUUAAGGUUAUCAGGAACUCGGUUACUCAGUACAGUAAUUUAUUAAGGAUUUGAAAGAGGCAAUACUAUCAUGUAUUAAAAUUGCAGAUAUUGAAGCUGAUCAUGAUAUUGAAAAGAGACCUAUGAUAAUAAUGCAAAUUCAAAGGUGACUGGCAUAAUUUGAUUUAUUUCUGCAGGGAAGAUUUGCAGAUUUGGCAGAUGAAAGUAAUGAUUUUAUUCACAGUAGUAAGAUCUUUUCAGUUAUGAAGCUAAGGGCAGUAGUUCAGAAAUAACAACUUCUGUGCAAUUGUUUGAUAAUUCUGUGCACAGUUUUCUAGCAUAGGACAAUGCUAUAAUUUUAAUAACUGCACAAGGUGGAAAUUUUUCAAAAAGCAAAAAUUGUGUGCAGGCAGACAAAGACUUAAGAUCCCAGCACACACGGGUCCAAUCAUAAGUGAUUUAUAGAAUGAUAUUUUUAUGUUUAUGGAUUUGAAAAAGCGAAUAUUUAAGCAUCUAUACAUGCUGCUUUGCAAAAUCUAUUGUGCAUCUAUAUCCUGAACAAGCAGGUGAUAUCGCUUAUCAAUGCAAACUGCUGUGGAUUAAUUUCACCCCUGAUAGAUAUCCACUGUAUAUUUUGGAGCAAAAGGUGCAUUUCAGUAUGCUCCUGGCACAAAGGUUGAACUGUGAAAAGUGAUGGGAGAUACUUACUCUCCUGGUUUAUGGGUUCAAGCUCAAAUGAAGAAGUGAGCAAAGUGAUUGCAGAUUUUAUAAAUAUCUGUGCACUACUGUCUAUUCCAAACAGCUUGGAAUAGCAGGGCUUUUAACAGCAAUGCAAAGGCUAAAUUGCAUAGCUCGUGGCUUACAUGCAAGCUAUGGUAAAUAGAGCUCAAAGGAAUUCAUGAGCCCCAAGGUUCAAAAACUGAAAGUAUAUAUGUUCUGUCACUUUCUAACUUUCUAAGACCCAAUGAGGCUUUCAUUUGGGGUCGAGGUCUUGUUUGUAUGUUCACAGAUAAUGAAAACAUCUGGUCACCCAUGUCAUGCUUCAUGCCAGCUGAUACAGACCAGGAAGAGAAGCAGACGGAAGGUGAUGGCAUCAGCUACCUACAUGCCAGCCACAAUCCAGGCACGCUGGAGGGACACUUCUUUGGUGACUAAUAUCACUCUAGAACAAUGACAUUACACUAUUAGAGACAUUGGCUAUUAGGCCACUGAAGGACACUUGUCAUGCUGACAUCCAUUGAGAUGGGGUACCCAGA